CCAUAAUCAGAAGAACUUGCACUUGUGAAAACAAAAUUAAUAAUGACUAAAAUGAUGGACAUCAUUCAAAGUUCAUGGGCAGAUUCCUCAUUGUAGAUUUGGGUCAAAAUUCUAAAAUACAAAGAGUAACAAAAAUAACAUGAGUACAAUUGUGCUCCUAUUUCUUAAUAUACCGAGUGAAAAUAAAUACAAUGGCCUAUAAUAUAGAGUUUAUGUGCUUUGCAUUAAACUGAAUGCAUGGCAACUGAUCAUUUCUCCAAUCUGUUCUGUUAUAUAAGUAAGCACAUAAUUGGGAGGACUGACAUCCAACUUGGGUAAACGAAAGAAUUAGCAACAUAAUUUAGGAGAUGCCUAUCUUUUGUAGCAUGAAAGUCAGAUAGUCAACAAGUUCUGGAUCAACAAGACCCUGAGCAGAAAAGGUAGACAACAUCCAGCAAAAGGUAGACUCGGUUCUUUCACUCAUGCUUCUCUGGAUUUCUACUUGCUAAAUCCAGUACAUGCUUCUCUGAAUUUCGACAACCUAAGUUCAGUACAUGCUUCUCUCAAUGUUGGCCUGCCAAUUGGUAUUGUAUUGCAGACUUGAGAGUACUGUAUGCAAUCCAUUUGUGCCAAUGGAUUACCAAAUUUUUAUGUUACUUUUAGGCCAUUUGAAUGAAAGGACCUCUAUGACAAUCUACGACAAAACAUUUUGUGCGAAUAAAAUUCAGUACAUGCUUCUCUAAAUAUCUGCAACACAAUUAAGCAAAAUUUGUUCGUAUAUGUUGGCCUGCCAAUUGGUUUUGGGUACUAUGCAUGCAUGUUUCUCAAAUGCAUACUCCAAGUGCCACUUAUGUGCUUAAUAAGGUGAACUUCUGUUUAAAUAAUAAUGUUGGUUUGCCGAAGUUUUCUUGUACGAUACACACUAGCUGCGGGAGGUGAUGUUUUUAAGUUGAAUGGUUUGAGUUUAUGAACCAAAUGGUUGUCUAGUUGCUUCUGAUGUUUGCAACACAAGCAUAUAGAGCUACAAUUGUCAAUCGUUGGAGAAAGCGCUUUUCUGAGACAGCACAUCGAUAAAGACCACUUAUCAAGCAUCACCAUCAGAGGAGAUCAAACUCUUAACAAGGAUGCAAGCGAAGUGAACAUACCUCAGAAUGGAGUUGCUUGCUAUUAUGAAAGCGAGGUGCACUUGGUGUGUACACAUCACUCGGUGAAUCCAAGCUUACUUCCAUUCCCAUAUGCACAAGAGGAUUUGGCAAAAAAAAUCAGCAAUCAAGGAAUAUUUGACAAUCACAAUUAGACUAAGAAACGAAGAUGUACCCGCACUGUAUAUAUAACACUAGAACCCAACUUCAUGUUGUCACCUGCCCUAUUGCUUUUUCUGUCAGAGCUAAACCUGCUGUUCAGAUACACAACAAUGCAUCUUGUCAUAAAUGAGAACACAGAUUAGCUAUAGCAUCCAGAAUUACAUGUAAGAAUGUU
Molecule: long non-coding RNA, 1458 nt
Filed under: Triticum aestivum (bread wheat)
Lineage: Eukaryota; Viridiplantae; Streptophyta; Magnoliopsida; Poales; Poaceae
Description: long non-coding RNA (TAES_LNC002211)
Source: RNAcentral